AAUGCCGCGUGGGUGAAGAAGGCCUGCGGGUUGUAAAGCCCUUUCGGGGGGAGGAAGGCCCUUGUGCGAAGAGUGCAAGGGGAUGACGUUACCCCCAGAAGAAGCACCGGCUAACUCCGUGCCAGCAACUGCGGUGACUGAGCGGGCUGGCAAGGCGCAUA
RNAcentral lists this ribosomal RNA (161 nucleotides) under uncultured bacterium. RNAcentral describes it as "partial 16S ribosomal RNA". It matches the Rfam family "Bacterial small subunit ribosomal RNA", at positions 393 to 539 of the family's 1533-position model. The record is from RNAcentral.